AUUGAACGCUGGCGGAAUGCUUUACACAUGCAAGUCGAACGGCAGCACGGACUUCGGUCUGGUGGCGAGUGGCGAACGGGUGAGUAAUGUAUCGGAACGUGCCCAGUCGUGGGGGAUAACGUAGUGAAAAUUACGCUAAUACCGCAUACGAUCUAUGGAUGAAAGCGGGGGAUCGCAAGACCUCGCGCGAUUGGAGCGGCCGAUAUCAGAUUAGGUAGUUGGUGGGGUAAAGGCCGACCAAGCCAAUGAUCUGUAGCUGGUCUGAGAGGACGACCAGCCACACUGGAACUGAGACACGGUCCAGACUCCUACGUGAGGCAGCAGUGGGGAAUUUUGGACAAUGGGCGAAAGCCUAUUCGAGCCAUUCCGCGUGCAGGAUGAAGGCCCUCGGGUUGUAAACUGCUUUUGUACAGAACGAAAAGGUUUCUACUAAUACUAAGAGCUGAUGACGGUACUGUAAGAAUAAGCACCGGCUAACUACGUGCCAGCCGCCGCAGUAA
RNAcentral lists this ribosomal RNA (500 nucleotides) under uncultured bacterium. RNAcentral's name for it is "partial 16S ribosomal RNA". It matches the Rfam family "Bacterial small subunit ribosomal RNA", at positions 30 to 523 of the family's 1533-position model. The record is from RNAcentral.